GAGCUUUAAUAGUAAAUUGCACCAAGGGGUGGGGUUAAUAUACUGGAAACACCUUAGAAAAGGCCCGUUCAACUUAAAUAUCUAUUUCCACACAAAUGGACCAAUUCGGCUUUCAUCAGUGAAAACCUCCAGUGAGUUAUACAGGUCAAAAUUGGGUUUUUUGGCUAUGGGGCCCGACCCCUCACACCCGGAUAACUCAAAUUCAAUCCCAAUAGUUGGGACAACAUAUUGGGGAAUAGAUUAACGUAUCCGGACACCCCGAGGUGAGUCCGUUAGUGCCAAAUGACGAAAUAACCAGGUAAUAAGUGAAAACCCAUCUUUCUCCUAAACAACCCUUAGUUAACUUAAGUGACUAUAAAUAGAGACUCUUUUCCCAUUUCUUUCAUUCCUACCAAGUUAAAAGCAAGGGAAUGGAAAAAAGAGAACAAGAAGAAGAAGAAGGAGAAGAGUAGGGGAGAAGCAAGGAUUUUCCUACCAAAUAAGGGGUAGAACCAAAAGGUGACGAGACACGCCGCGAGGCCAUCGGUUGUCCAUCAUCACUUAGGACUUGAGAUGUUGAUUCAGGUAACCCUUCGGAAACUGUGAUUGAGGAUCCAGCUCUCUACGGAGGUGAUCUCUGGAAUGAGGAACUAGUUAAUUGCACACGAGAAUGGAUGAGUGUGCGAUGACUGUGCAAUUGGAGCACGCUGAAGAUGAGAGUAUUAUCUUCCUUUUAUUUUCUUUUGUACUUAUCAGAUAUAGCCCUAGGGGCAUAAUUGUAAUUGAUAUUUUGUUGCGAAAACAUUUUGUUAAAUAUGAUAAAUACUGUUAGAUUCCA
Long non-coding RNA from Macadamia integrifolia, 817 nucleotides. RefSeq lists it as uncharacterized. Lineage: Eukaryota; Viridiplantae; Streptophyta; Magnoliopsida; Proteales; Proteaceae. The transcript has 3 exons. The record is from RefSeq and is a predicted model, not a curated record.